AGCUAAGUGCAUUUUCUCAGCAGAAGGAAGAUCUUACACAUCACCUAGUGAAUAUCCAGUUGGGAAUCUGAAAGCAGCAGUGGGCAGGCAGGGGAAUCAGGAGCAAUGUUCAUCAGUGAAUGAAAGGAGUGCUGGAAAGAGAACCACAUGCUCACAUCGAAGAACCUUCAAUCAUAUGAUUUUAGUGUGGAAAGCCAGAUGAUACAUUCUAACAUCUGUGAAAUCAAAUCAAAAUACAAAUUGGUUUUUGGCUUUCCUAA
Molecule: long non-coding RNA, 260 nt
Organism: Pan troglodytes (chimpanzee)
Lineage: Eukaryota; Metazoa; Chordata; Mammalia; Primates; Hominidae
Exons: 2
Source: RefSeq, a predicted model, not a curated record